UCUCGAACCGCUCGCGUGCUGCAUGUGAGCGCGAUUUCUGUUGUAGGAUGCCCAUUACAGGUCUCUCCCAUCCUUACUCCUAGGCCUGCACGCAUGGCUUGACACUGUGCCUUGCGUUGAUGACAUCAGCUCGCCACUCAGCAAGUGAAGGGUCGUCAUCGUCUAAGGCACUCGUGGCACGCGAUUCGUGACGUCACCGGAACUUUCUUCAGCAACUCAAAUCACGCGCAGGAAGUUGCAAACGUCUCGUUAGGGGCGUCUUCUCGGCACUGCACUAGCGCAUAGUGGAGAAGCCUCAUUGCAGGACGUCGAAGCGGUCGUAUGUACUUCAAGACCCAGCGACUCGUCGGCGACGGAAGAGGAC
Molecule: long non-coding RNA, 364 nt
Organism: Ornithodoros turicata
Lineage: Eukaryota; Metazoa; Arthropoda; Arachnida; Ixodida; Argasidae
Exons: 3
Source: RefSeq, a predicted model, not a curated record